UGGGGAAUUUUGGACAAUGGGGGCAACCCUGAUCCAGCAAUGCCGCGUGUGUGAAGAAGGCCUUCGGGUUGUAAAGCACUUUUGUCCGGGAAGAAAUCCUUUUCGAUAAUACCGAAGGGGGAUGACGGUACCGGAAGAAUAAGCACCGGCUAACUACGUGCCAGCAGCCGCGGUAAUACGUAGGGUGCGAGCGUUAAUCGGAAUUACUGGGCGUAAAGCGUGCGCAGGCGGUGAUGUAAGACCGAUGUGAAAUCCCCGGGCUUAACCUGGGAACUGCAGUGGUGACUGCAUCGCUGGAGUAUGGCAGAGGGGGGUAGAAUUCCACGUGUAGCAGUGAAAUGCGUAGAGAUGUGGAGGAAUACCGAUGGCGAAGGCAGCCCCCUGGGCCAAUACUGACGCUCAUGCACGAAAGCGUGGGGAGCAAACAGG
This 429-nucleotide ribosomal RNA is filed under the name Bacillota bacterium. RNAcentral describes it as "Firmicutes bacterium partial 16S ribosomal RNA". It matches the Rfam family "Bacterial small subunit ribosomal RNA", at positions 355 to 776 of the family's 1533-position model. Lineage: Bacteria; Bacillati; Bacillota. The record is from RNAcentral.